This 418-nucleotide ribosomal RNA is filed under the name uncultured eukaryote. RNAcentral describes it as "bacterial SSU rRNA". It matches the Rfam family "Eukaryotic small subunit ribosomal RNA", at positions 592 to 1017 of the family's 1831-position model. The record is from RNAcentral.
CAAUAGCGUAUAUUAAAGUUGUUGCAGUUAAAAGCUCGUAGUUGGAUUUCGGAGUGGGCCAGUUGGUCCGCCGCAAGGUGUGUUACUGACUGGUUUGCUCUUCUUCGCAAAGACUGCGUGUGCUCUUGAGUGAGUGUGCGUAGAAUUUACGACGUUUACUUUGAAAAAUUAGAGUGUUCAAAGCAGGCUAUUGCUUGAAUACAUGAGCAUGGAAUAAUGGAAUAGGACUUUGGUCCCAUUUUGUUGGUUUCUAGGACCGAAGUAAUGAUUGAUAGGGAUAGUUGGGGGUGCUAGUAUUAAGCGGCCAGAGGUGAAAUUCUUGGAUUCGCUUAAGACUAACUACUGCGAAAGCAUUUCACCAAGGAUGUCUUCUUUAAUCAAGAACGAAAGUUGGGGGAUCGAAGACGAUUAGAUACCA